AUUGAACGCUGACGGCAGGCCUAACACAUGCAAGUCGAACGGUAACAGGAAGAAGCUUGCUUCUUUGCUGACGAGUGGCGGACGGGUGAGUAAUGUCUGGGAAACUGCCUGAUGGAGGGGGAUAACUACUGGAAACGGUAGCUAAUACCGCAUAACGUCGCAAGACCAAAGAGGGGGACCUUCGGGCCUCUUGCCAUCGGAUGUGCCCAGAUGGGAUUAGCUAGUAGGUGGGGUAACGGCUCACCUAGGCGACGAUCCCUAGCUGGUCUGAGAGGAUGACCAGCCACACUGGAACUGAGACACGGUCCAGACUCCUACGGGAGGCAGCAGUGGGGAAUAUUGCACAAUGGGCGCAAGCCUGAUGCAGCCAUGCCGCGUGUAUGAAGAAGGACUUCGGGUUGUAAAGUACUUUCAGCGGGGAGGAAGGGAGUAAAGUUAAUACCUUUGCUCAUUGACGUUACCCGCAGAAGAAGCACCGGCUAACUCCGUG
This 490-nucleotide ribosomal RNA is filed under the name uncultured bacterium. RNAcentral's name for it is "partial 16S ribosomal RNA". It matches the Rfam family "Bacterial small subunit ribosomal RNA", at positions 30 to 507 of the family's 1533-position model. The record is from RNAcentral.